AAACGUUGCUCGGAAUUAUUGGGCGUAAAGCGCACGUAGGCGGCUUGGCAAGUCGGAUGUGAAAUCCCUCGGCUCAACCAAGGAAGUGCAUCCGAAACUGCUGAGCUUGAGUACUUAAGAGGAUCGCGGAAUUCCCGGUGUAGAGGUGAAAUUCGUAGAUAUCGGGAGGAACACCAGUGGCGAAGGCGGCGAUCUGGGAAGAUACUGACGCUGAGGUGCGAAAGCGUGGGGAGCAAACAGG
RNAcentral lists this ribosomal RNA (241 nucleotides) under uncultured bacterium. Its description in RNAcentral is "partial 16S ribosomal RNA". It matches the Rfam family "Bacterial small subunit ribosomal RNA", at positions 536 to 776 of the family's 1533-position model. The record is from RNAcentral.